This 103-nucleotide ribosomal RNA is filed under the name Octodon degus (degu). Lineage: Eukaryota; Metazoa; Chordata; Mammalia; Rodentia; Octodontidae. The record is from RNAcentral.
UUAUACGGCCAUACCACCCUGAAUGCGCCCGAUCUCGUCUGCUAAGCAGGGUCGGGCCUGGUUAGUACUUGGAUGGGAGGCUUUUCUAUUUCUGCAGUAGAGA